AAAUCAAACCAAAAUGACUUAGGCAAUUUUGGUGAUAGGGAGCUCAAUUUUAAGUCCAAUUCAGCGUGUAGCUCUGCCAAUUUGAUGGACACUCGUGGGCUUGUAAUUCUCAACAUUUCUAAACAGUGACUAUGCAAUUGAUAUUAAUUACUUGUGUGUGUUGACUGUUGUCCCACAUCGACCUGGUAUAAGGCAAGAGUGCUUAAUAUAAAGGUUUGGGCUAUCCUCCCCCUCGAGCUAGCUUUGGGGUUGAGUUAGGUGCGGUCCAUUUUCUCUACAUGGAAUUAGAGCCAACCCUUGUCUCAUUGUU
This 310-nucleotide unclassified non-coding RNA is filed under the name Hevea brasiliensis (rubber tree). The record is from RNAcentral. Lineage: Eukaryota; Viridiplantae; Streptophyta; Magnoliopsida; Malpighiales; Euphorbiaceae.